CUGUUGGAUGCAGCUUCCAGUGGCAGAUUUCUUCUUCCUGUGCUAGUACCAAGCUCACAGGGCCCAGCAGGAGGGACUCUGUGAGAAGUGGGAUUUGCCCUCUUUAACAGCAGUAAUGUCCCAGGACAGUCCUGGCACUGCAAACAUGUUUUCCCUCUGCAGUUUGCAGUAACACUCAGGAAUAUCCGAACUCUUGCAAAGCAAAGCUUGAUUAAAGGAUGGGUUUAGUCUCGGUGAGAUUCCAAGGACUCCUCCUUUGAAGCAGCGUGUGCAGAAGGAUCUGAAGUGUUCCUAUACCCUCCAAGUUUCAGACGGAUUUUGGAAAACAUGUAACCUUCCCCUAACCGUCCCCAAGAGCAGACAAGGGGAGUGUGAUUGACAUUUGCUCCAAGCAGCAGCCUGAUUGCUGAGAUCUUGCAGACAGCUGGUUCCUUGGAAAUAAGAAGUAGACCUCACAGCCCUGGACUUUACUGAAGGCAUGAGUAUUCUGGUCAAGUACAAGCAAGAAAGCACAGCAGACCCUAAAAUUCAGGUACCUGCUGCCAUUCUCCAGCUGUAUGGAAGCUGCCUGCACUGUGAGACAACCACAUGAACACCUUGGUGGGGGUACCCAGCUGACAGACACUGCGAGUGAGAAGGCAGACUGGUGAGUGUCAUCUUACCAAAAACCUGCAGGAGCAAGCCAAAACAUGCAAUUUGCUAAGUA
RNAcentral lists this long non-coding RNA (706 nucleotides) under Chloebia gouldiae (Gouldian finch). RNAcentral describes it as "Erythrura gouldiae (Gouldian finch) lncRNA (ENSEGOG00005010076.1)". The record is from RNAcentral. Lineage: Eukaryota; Metazoa; Chordata; Aves; Passeriformes; Passeridae.